UACAGAGGUCUCGAGCGUUAGGCGGAAUCACUGGGCUUAAAGCGUGUGUAGGCGGAUCGGUAAGUACCUUGUGAAAUCCCACAGCUUAACUGUGGAACUGCUCGGUAUACUGCCAGUCUUGAGCCAGCUAGGGGCUACCGGAACAAAUGGUGGAGCGGUGAAAUGCGUAGAUAUUGGAAGGAACACCGGAGGCGAAAGCGGUGUACUGGGGCUGGUCUGACGCUGAGGCACGAAAGCCAGGGGAGCGAACGGG
RNAcentral lists this ribosomal RNA (253 nucleotides) under uncultured bacterium. RNAcentral describes it as "partial 16S ribosomal RNA". It matches the Rfam family "Bacterial small subunit ribosomal RNA", at positions 524 to 776 of the family's 1533-position model. The record is from RNAcentral.